AACGAACGCUGGCGGCAGGCUUAACACAUGCAAGUCGAGCGCACUCUUCGGAGUGAGCGGCGGACGGGUUAGUAACGCGUGGGAACGUGCCCAGAUCUAAGGAAUAGCCACUGGAAACGGUGAGUAAUACCUUAUACGCCCUUCGGGGAAAGAUUUAUCGGAUUUGGAUCGGCCCGCGUUAGAUUAGAUAGUUGGUGGGGUAGCGGCCUACCAAGUCUACGAUCUAUAGCUGGUUUUAGAGGAUGAUCAGCAACACUGGGACUGAGACACGGCCCAGACUCCUACGGGAGGCAGCAGUGGGGAAUCUUGGACAAUGGCGCAAGCCUGAUCCAGCCAUGCCGCGUGUGUGAAGAAGGCUUUCGGGUUGUAAAGCACUUUCAGUAGGGAGGAAAAGUUAAUGGUUAAUACCCAUUAG
This 415-nucleotide ribosomal RNA is filed under the name uncultured bacterium. RNAcentral describes it as "bacterial SSU rRNA". It matches the Rfam family "Bacterial small subunit ribosomal RNA", at positions 29 to 485 of the family's 1533-position model. The record is from RNAcentral.